This 257-nucleotide ribosomal RNA is filed under the name uncultured bacterium. Its description in RNAcentral is "partial 16S ribosomal RNA". It matches the Rfam family "Bacterial small subunit ribosomal RNA", at positions 524 to 777 of the family's 1533-position model. The record is from RNAcentral.
UACAGAGGGUGCGAGCGUUGUCCGGAAUCACUGGGCGUAAAGGGCGCGUAGGUGGCGACCCAAGUCGAUGGUGAAAGCUCGCCGCUCAACGGCGAGUCGGCCACCGAUACUGGGUUGCUGGAGCACUGUAGAGGCAGAUGGAAUUCCGGGUGUAGCGGUGGAAUGGCGUAGAGAUCCGGAAGAACACCGGUGGCGAAGGCGGGUCUCUGGACAGUUCCCUGACGCUGAGGCACGAAGGCCAGGGGGAGCAAACGGGG